ACCCUGCUGACUAGUCCAAAACAGGACGAAACAGUUGUCCAGUGC
Molecule: non-coding RNA, 45 nt
Filed under: Echinostoma caproni
Lineage: Eukaryota; Metazoa; Platyhelminthes; Trematoda; Plagiorchiida; Echinostomatidae
Source: RNAcentral